UGCGCUCGGUGGAUAGAAGACGUGA
RNAcentral lists this microRNA (25 nucleotides) under Xenopus tropicalis (tropical clawed frog). RNAcentral's name for it is "xtr-miR-9407". Lineage: Eukaryota; Metazoa; Chordata; Amphibia; Anura; Pipidae. The record is from miRBase by way of RNAcentral.